CCACAAGUAGUAACAGACUUGUCGAAUUAUAAAGAGAAAUUUGUUUAGAUUGUGUCACUUCUAAAAAGCUAUAAUUUUAAGAUAAGUAUUAAUGUGGAAGUUAACUUCUCUAAAGCUUCUUUUUGGCUCACCGUAGGGGAGUCUAUACAAUACCGCAGUGUCCGUCGUCCGUCGUCGUCCGUCGUCGUCGUCGUCGUCGUCGUCGUCGUCGUCGUCCGUCUUAUCCUAGUUCGAAAACAGUGGCACGUUUUUUAACCGCUAGGCCUAUGAACUUAAAACUUUGUACACAUGACCCCCUAGGUCAGAUGACCCGUGACAUUAAAUUUCUGUCUGAUCUGAUUCUGUACUUGGCCACCAGGGGGCCAAAUGUGGAUAUCUAAAAAAGUGUGAUAUCUCGCUUAUUAGUGACUUGUUUUCGAUAAAACUUUUGUGGUAGGUACUCAUAGCAAAGAUACAUCAUAUAUCUGACGGGUUUUUGAUUUGUUCUCCUUUUCAAGGUCGCAGAGGUCAAAUGGCGUGAAUUGGCCGUUUGAGUGUAACUAUGGCACGUUUCUCAACCACCAAAGCUCUGAGCUUGAAACUUAGUACAUAUAACCCCAUAUAUCAGAUAACCUCUGGUGCUGAAUUUCAGCCUGAUCUGAUUCUUGACUUUGCCACCAGGGGGCCAAAACAGAAAAAGUAAGAAGUGCAAUAGCCUGCUUAUUAGCAAAUUGUUUUUGAUGAAAUUUUUAUGGCAGGGACCCCUAGCAAGUUUACCUCCGAUGUUGCACGAUUUUUCGGAUUUGACCUACUUUUUAAGGUCGCAGAGGUCAAAUGGCGUAAAUUUGCCAUUUGAGUGUAACUAUGGCACGUUUCUCAACCGCAACAGUUAUGAACUUGAAACUUUAAACAAAUGACCCCCUAGGUCAGUUGACCUUUUACACUGAAUUUUGGUUCGGUCUGAUUAUUGACUUGGCCACCAGGGGGCCCAAACUCAAAACUCAAAAAGUGUGAUUUCUCGCUUAUUACUAGUGUGUUUUUGAUAAAAGUUUCACGGUAGGUACUCCUAGCAAGGAUACAUCACAUAUCUUACGGGUUUUUGAUUUGACCCCCCUUUCAAGUUCACAGAGGUCAAAGUUGAAAACUUUACCGUUCGUGGUACGUUUUGUCGUUGUUCAAUGUAAAGAGUUUUAAUUUUGUGUAAUGAUGCAUCUAAGAAGCCACUAUUUGUAUGCCAAGUUUCAGCCAGAUCGGAAUUCAAAUAUGGCCGAAAUUGCAUGUUUUGUGGGUUUUUCCUCGUAUUGUGGCAAUCCAAAGGUCGUGAGUUCAAACCCCGGUCAAGGACAGCCAAAAAUAUUUUUAUUUUUCAUCUUUUCCUUUUUUCUUUUCUGAGUUCUAUCUUACAUUUUCUUCAUUUUUUGAUUUAUUUGGUGCCAUAGAUUUAAUUAGGCGGCCAUCUUGGAAAUCGAUUUUUGCCGAUUGCUGUAGUGUAACGAGUGAUGAAAUUGUUAUGGUCAGGUGGAUGUGUCUACAUCACAUAUCACCCUGGUUUGUUAUUUGACCUACCUGUCAGGGUCACUGAGGUCAAAGUUAAAAAUAUAUUCACCAUUGUCAUGGAGUGGCACGUUUCUUCACUAUCAUUUUCACCUAGACUCUACAAGCUUGGAACCACAAGUCUCGGAUUCACCACUUGGCCAGGGCCGGCUCUGAACUGGUCACAGAUGCAUGUAUAAAUUAUGAGAGGCCUACAUGAUCAUAGGAAGGGGUGGGUAUCUGAUUUGUCAUACCUUUCAAAAAUGUUAUUGCAGCUCAUAGGUAAUAUUCCAAAUUUAGGCUCCAGCCAAAAGUGGCAGUUGCAAGUACCAGAACUACGAAUUAUGUUUAUGAUUCACUCUCCACCAUUGGGUGGAAAACUUGUACAUGUGACCAUUACUUCUUGGAUUUUAUUGAAAAUUAUUUCAAAGAUGCCACUAGAUUUGUGCACGAAAGGCACCCUAUAAGUAUAGUUGGAGACCAUUCAUAAAUAUGUUGUGCUACUACUGUUGUUUCAAUUCAAUUAGGAGGGAAGGAUUUCUAUGUAGGGUCUGGUUUCUUGCUGUAUUUAGGUUCUACAUCAGUGAAACUAAAAAAAAAGUCAUGUUUGAAAAAUAUUACAAAAUAAUUAAUGCAGUAAAGGCGCUCCAUACAUUGGCCACUUCCUGUUUGUAAUCUUGCAAAAGCCUGCUCAUGUGCUUGAUUUCAGGAUUUUCAAAGUGUUUUUAGUGCAUUUUUGGUUAUUGCUAUUGUUGUUGCUAUUUCUAUGAACAGAUGAAUGAGUGUAUUUGCUGAUGCAGAUCAAGCUUAUCUGGGCCUACAGCGAUUGACACACUUAAAGUAAGGUUGUGUGGUGUUGACACUGAAGUGGUGGUGCGAAGUUGUUGGAGGUUUUGAUAAUCUAACGCAGAUUUGGCUUGCCUGCCGGGUAACUCCAACAUUGGUAACUGUGCAAGUGUUCAUCGCACUUGCGUUUGCCUCUAACCAAGGCCCUCUCACAUUGGUGAGAACAAAGUUCAAGUGUCAGAACGACAAUCUAUAAAACAGACAACUUCAGUAUACACCUUGUAAUUGAACUACAGCACUGUGCAAAAACUUUGAGAAUGUCACAUUCUGCCUUCUCUUCUCCUAAUAAUUCAUUCCUACAUAUUGCAGUCAAGAUGCACACCUUGAGCGAGGAAAGAAUCAUGAAGAAUUGUUAACAAAUGUCAAGAAUUUCUGCAUAAUCCCAAAUUUUUUUCAUCACUGCUGUAAACAUCAUUUGAUUAUACUGUGAUUUAUCAAUCAUUCAUUGUCACUGCACCUCAUUUUUAA
Lineus longissimus is the source of this 2826-nucleotide long non-coding RNA. RefSeq lists it as uncharacterized. The transcript has 4 exons. The record is from RefSeq and is a predicted model, not a curated record. NCBI's taxonomy places the organism in Eukaryota, Metazoa, Nemertea, Pilidiophora, Heteronemertea, Lineidae.